This 320-nucleotide ribosomal RNA is filed under the name uncultured bacterium. Its description in RNAcentral is "bacterial SSU rRNA". It matches the Rfam family "Bacterial small subunit ribosomal RNA", at positions 28 to 334 of the family's 1533-position model. The record is from RNAcentral.
GACGAACGCUGGCGGCGUGCCUAAUACAUGCAAGUCGAGCGGACCGAAAGGAGAGCUCGCUCUCCUUUCAGUCAGCGGCGGACGGGUGAGUAACACGUGGGUAACCUGCCUGUAAGACCGGGAUAACUCGCGGAAACGCGAGCUAAUACCGGAUAGGUCCCGUGGCCGCAUGGCGACGGGAGGAAAGAUGGCGCGAGCUAUCGCUUACAGAUGGACCCGCGGCGCAUUAGCUAGUUGGUGGGGUAACGGCCCACCAAGGCGACGAUGCGUAGCCGACCUGAGAGGGCGAUCGGCCACAUUGGGACUGAGACACGGCCCAA